GCUGGGCGUGGUGGUGCGCGCCUGUAGUCCCAGCUACUCAGGAGGCUGAGGCAGGAGAAUUGCUUGAACCCGGGAGGCGGAGGUUGCAGUGAGCCGAGGUCAUGCCACUGCACUCCAGCCUGGGUGACAGAGUAAGACUCUGUCUCAA
Molecule: signal recognition particle RNA, 148 nt
Filed under: Callithrix jacchus (white-tufted-ear marmoset)
Lineage: Eukaryota; Metazoa; Chordata; Mammalia; Primates; Cebidae
Description: Metazoan signal recognition particle RNA (ENSCJAG00000071811.1)
Rfam family: Metazoan signal recognition particle RNA
About the family: The signal recognition particle (SRP) is a universally conserved ribonucleoprotein. It is involved in the co-translational targeting of proteins to membranes.
Source: Rfam by way of RNAcentral